CUGGUCGCGGGGGCGGGUGGAGAGGAAUACUUAGCUGGGGAUUCGCGGCAGAGGAGCGGAAGUUGGCUGCCGGCGUGGUUGAAGCGUGUGUAGAGUGAGAGGAGGAGCGUUUGUCGCCUUGGCGUUUGUCAGCAGGCGCAGUGAAAGACAAAGAUGAAGACCCCCUGGAAGGCGUUGAAAGUGGUGAAGAGAUAGGCCAUGACCACCGACUCCUUAUUGAUGAAGAGCAGGCCGAAAGCCCAAGUGAGACCCAGCAGGAAGAGCAGCGCGAUGGCCCCCAGGGCCCAGGAUCUGGGGAGGGGGAGGGGGAGAAGGGAUAUCAAAGUCCCUUACAGUGGAGAAGCCCUCCCCCGUAGCCCUGCUGCGUGUCCCUCUUCAGGCGAGCCUCGAUGCUGGCUGCAAAGACCCACCUAGGAUGCGCGGGCCUUGGGGGAAUGGCCUGCACAGCGGUACUUUCAACCAGCCCGGGCCCGAGGUCGGGGUUUGGGGUUUUGCAAAGGUCAGUCGUUAGCCUUCACCCUUUGGUCCGUGUUUCCAGACCCUUAAACUGUCUUUUGCUGCCUA
Neofelis nebulosa (Clouded leopard) is the source of this 564-nucleotide long non-coding RNA. RefSeq lists it as uncharacterized. Lineage: Eukaryota; Metazoa; Chordata; Mammalia; Carnivora; Felidae. The transcript is spliced from 2 exons. The record is from RefSeq and is a predicted model, not a curated record.